This 244-nucleotide long non-coding RNA is filed under the name Ananas comosus (pineapple). RNAcentral's name for it is "long non-coding RNA (ACOM_LNC007329)". Lineage: Eukaryota; Viridiplantae; Streptophyta; Magnoliopsida; Poales; Bromeliaceae. The record is from RNAcentral.
AAAUAAUAAAAAGUGGAGUAAAAACGAUAAUUAAUAUGAAUUUAACUUAAUAUGAUUGUGAAGUUAAAUACCGUUUACGCGACUUAAAAAAAUUUCUCUCCUCAAAAGAAUGAUUCUCAACCAUCUCCUUUCUCAAAAAAUUUUAAAUUCCUAAACACCUUUCCUCAAAAUGAUUUUUAAACAACCAAAAUUCAAAACACCAAAAAAAAAUCAUUUAAACAUGUAAUGCAACGAAUAAAAAUAU